AGUGCUCAGUGUUUGCGGAAGUAAACAUGGAGGCUAACGGUGAAGCUUAGCUUACAUAUUAGAAGUUGUUGUCCGACCGGAGCAGAAUAUUAACAACCUAAUCCUCAUAUAAUCCGCCAUGGUUGUUUUUCUUCCCGCUUGCGCGUUUUUGAAUGUGUUGAG
Molecule: long non-coding RNA, 162 nt
Organism: Poecilia latipinna (sailfin molly)
Lineage: Eukaryota; Metazoa; Chordata; Actinopteri; Cyprinodontiformes; Poeciliidae
Exons: 3
Source: RefSeq, a predicted model, not a curated record